This 1499-nucleotide ribosomal RNA is filed under the name metagenome. RNAcentral describes it as "bacterial SSU rRNA". It matches the Rfam family "Bacterial small subunit ribosomal RNA". The record is from RNAcentral.
AGAGUUUGAUCAUGGCUCAGGAUGAACGCUAGCUACAGGCUUAACACAUGCAAGUCGAGGGGAAACGAUAUUGGAAGCUUGCUUCCGAUAGGCGUCGACCGGCGCACGGGUGAGUAACGCGUAUCCAACCUGCCCAUCACUUGGGAAUAACCUUGCGAAAGUAAGACUAAUGCCCAAUGACAUUUAUAGAAGGCAUCGGAAAUGAAUUAAAGAUUUAUCGGUGAUGGAUGGGGAUGCGUCUGAUUAGCUUGUUGGCGGGGUAACGGCCCACCAAGGCGACGAUCAGUAGGGGUUCUGAGAGGAAGGUCCCCCACAUUGGAACUGAGACACGGUCCAAACUCCUACGGGAGGCAGCAGUGAGGAAUAUAGGUCAAUGGGCGAGAGCCUGAACCAGCCAAGUAGCGUGCAGGAUGACGGCCCUAUGGGUUGUAAACUGCUUUUAUAGGGGAAUAAAGUGAGCCACGUGUGGUUUUUUGCAUGUACCCUAUGAAUAAGGACCGGCUAAUUCCGUGCCAGCAGCCGCGGUAAUACGGAAGGUCCGGGCGUUAUCCGGAUUUAUUGGGUUUAAAGGGAGCGUAGGCCGGAGAUUAAGCGUGUUGUGAAAUGUAGAUGCUCAACAUCUGCACUGCAGCGCGAACUGGUUUCCUUGAGUACGCAUAAAGUGGGCGGAAUUCGUGGUGUAGCGGUGAAAUGCUUAGAUAUCACGAAGAACUCCGAUUGCGAAGGCAGCUCACUGGGGCGCAACUGACGCUGAAGCUCGAAAGCGCGGGUAUCGAACAGGAUUAGAUACCCUGGUAGUCCGCGCGGUAAACGAUGGAUGCCCGCUGUUGGGCCAACUGGUUCAGCGGCCAAGCGAAAGCAUUAAGCAUCCCACCUGGGGAGUACGCCGGCAACGGUGAAACUCAAAGGAAUUGACGGGGGCCCGCACAAGCGGAGGAACAUGUGGUUUAAUUCGAUGAUACGCGAGGAACCUUACCCGGGCUUGAAUUGCAGAGGAAGGAUUUGGAGACAAUGACGCCCUUCGGAGCAGAGGUGACAGGUGGUGCAUGGUUGUCGUCAGCUCGUGUCGUGAGAUGUUGGGUUAAGUCCCGCAACGAGCGCAACCCCUAUCCUCAGUAGCCAGCAUUUAAGGUGGGCACUCUGGGGAGACUGCCAGGGAUAACCUGGAGGAAGGCGGGGAUGACGUCAAAUCAUCAUGCCCCUUAUGAUUUGGGCUACACACGUGCUACAAUGGCGUAAACAAAGGGAAGCGAGAUCGUGAGAUGGAGCAAAUCCCAAAAAUAACGUCCCAGUUCGGACUGUAGUCUGCAACCCGACUACACGAAGCUGGAAUCGCUAGUAAUCGCGGAUCAGAAUGCCGCGGUGAAUACGUUCCCGGGUCUUGUACACACCGCCCGUCACACCAUGGGAGUCAGUAACGCCCGAAGUCAGUGACCUAACUGCAAAGAAGGAGCUGCCGAAGGCGGGACCGAUGACUGGGGUGAAGUCGUAACAAGGUA